ACAAGCAGUGGAGUAUGUGGUUUAAUUCGACGCAACGCGAAGAACCUUACCAGGGCUUGACAUCCCCUGACCGCGUAUGAAAGUACGUUUUCACCUUCGGGAGACAGGGAGACAGGUGGUGCAUGGUUGUCGUCAGCUCGUGUCGUGAGAUGUUGGGUUAAGUCCCGCAACGAGCGCAACCCCUACGUUUAGUUGCUAACGCGUGAAGGCGAGCACUCUAGACGAACUGCCGUUGACAAAACGGAGGAAGGUGGGGAUGACGUCAAGUCCGCAUGCUCCUUACGUCUAGGGCUACACACGUCCUACAAUGGGGUCGACAGUGGGAUGCAAAGCCGCGAGGUGGAGCCAAUCCCCAAACGGCCUCUCAGUUCGGAUAGUAGUCUGCAACUCGACUACUUGAAGUCGGAAUCGCUAGUAAUGGCGGAUCAGCAUGCCGCCGUGAAUACGUUCCCGGGUCUU
Molecule: ribosomal RNA, 459 nt
Filed under: uncultured Pelotomaculum sp.
Lineage: Bacteria; Bacillati; Bacillota; Clostridia; Eubacteriales; Desulfotomaculaceae
Description: bacterial SSU rRNA
Rfam family: Bacterial small subunit ribosomal RNA
Source: RNAcentral